This 608-nucleotide long non-coding RNA is filed under the name Panax ginseng (ginseng). Its description in RNAcentral is "long non-coding RNA (PGIN_LNC014638)". The record is from RNAcentral. Lineage: Eukaryota; Viridiplantae; Streptophyta; Magnoliopsida; Apiales; Araliaceae.
GGAGUGAAAUUUAAGUAGAUGAAAGAAGAGCAUGCUAAUAGUGAGGUUUGUUAUUUAAGACUGCUCUCUUUUCUCAAUGGAACUUUUCAUGUCAUGGAAGACAUGAAAAAUACUCCCUCCGACCCGUAUUAAACAUCCUAAUUUUUUUUAGGAUAUUCCACAAUAAAUGUCCUAUUUCUAUAUUUAUAACUAUUUUUAUCCUAAUUUUCCACUUAUACCCUCAUAAUCUUUUACUUGUUGGAAAUUGAAGAAAUGAGAAAAGAUUUACAUUGGGAACUUGAUGAAUUAUUAUAUCAUUUUCUCUCUCAUAUUAUCAGUAUAACAUGUCUUUUAUUUAAUGGCUCUCUAGACUCUCUUUCUCUAUUCAUUCUAACUUUUCAUAUUUAUUGAGAAUGUGUGAAUAACAAAAAGAAUGAUCUAGAGAACUAAUUCACAUGAGAAGUAAUACUUCAUAGAAAAGUGGCGAAAUACUUCAAUUAAUAAAUAAUUUAAAAGGGAAAAUUAGGUAAAAAAAUAUAUUAUUAAUCAGCGUGCCGAAACCAGUUAGGACAUUUAUUUCGGGACGGAGAGAGUAUAAGAUCUUCUAGCCAUGCAUAACUAGUUCAUCG